ACUCCUACGGGAGGCAGCAGUGGGGAAUAUUGCACAAUGGGCGCAAGCCUGAUGCAGCCAUGCCGCGUGUAUGAAGAAGGCCUUCGGGUUGUAAAGUACUUUCAGCAGUGAGGAAGGUGGAUAUGUUAAUAGCAUAUUCAUUUGACGUUAGCUGCAGAAGAAGCACCGGCUAACUCCGUGCCAGCAGCCGCGGUAAUACGGAGGGUGCGAGCGUUAAUCGGAAUUACUGGGCGUAAAGCGCAUGCAGGUGGUUUGUUAAGUCAGAUGUGAAAGCCCGGGGCUCAACCUCGGAAUUGCAUUUGAAACUGGCAAACUAGAGUACUGUAGAGGGGGUAGAAUUUCAGGUGUAGCGGUGAAAUGCGUAGAGAUCUGAAGGUAA
This 379-nucleotide ribosomal RNA is filed under the name uncultured bacterium. RNAcentral's name for it is "bacterial SSU rRNA". It matches the Rfam family "Bacterial small subunit ribosomal RNA", at positions 335 to 707 of the family's 1533-position model. The record is from RNAcentral.